Gavialis gangeticus (Gharial) is the source of this 845-nucleotide long non-coding RNA. RefSeq lists it as uncharacterized. The record is from RefSeq and is a predicted model, not a curated record. The transcript has 4 exons. NCBI's taxonomy places the organism in Eukaryota, Metazoa, Chordata, Crocodylia, Gavialidae.
AGAACUUCAGUCAGCUGAAUAUGGAGGACUCAGCUAGAAGAGAAGAAGAGAGACACAGCUGUAAGGACCUGAACAUUUAAUAGGUGCCAAGUACAGUGAUGACCACAUUUUAGACCCUGAACAGAACUGAACUGAAUUCAGUAGAAGCUGGAUUUUGCCUGCUGAAGCCAGUAACAAAAUACAUACUUAUCUAAGAAUACAUGCUGCCUACUUCUCACUUCCCUCCUUUCAGAGGAUGCUGUCAGCUCAAAACAAUCAAUUAGUGGACAAGAUGAUCUCUCCUAGUCCAAAGGCUGGUCACUCAAAUGGCACAUUUUGACACGCUUGGCUGAUUGAACGACUUUCACAAGUUAAGCUGCUGGUCAAUACUAGCUACAAGCAAGACACUCUUGUGAAGAAUCUGUUCACAAAGUAGUACUAAAGGUAUGAAAAUAUCAGUUUGCAGUUUAUGAAACUUUAUGUGCAAUGGUUAUCGUUAUCUAUAUUUCUUCCUAGCAAUGACCAACGUGUGAUAACUUCUUUCCAACUAAAAUAAGCCUCAAUCCCUGACCAAAGGAGUUUGCAUUCUAAACUCAGAGGCUGCGUCUACAUGUGCCACUAGGGGGCAGCAAUUACCUAGGGAGUUUACUGCUCCUGGGAAGCUCCCGGGUGUGGGUCUGCAUGUAUGCCUGGACUGCAGCACACUGAGCCAGGUUGUAGCAGCUCUGGCUGGCAGGGGAUCCCAGGGAACACCUGAUAAAUACACUGUAUGCCUUGCUUUUGAGGUCCAAGGCACACUGCUGUACUUCACCAACAUGUUGCUUCUGUGUUGGUUUUAUAGGCUCUUUGUAAAGUCUAAAGAGUGG